Molecule: non-coding RNA, 549 nt
Organism: Poecilia reticulata (guppy)
Lineage: Eukaryota; Metazoa; Chordata; Actinopteri; Cyprinodontiformes; Poeciliidae
Source: RefSeq, a predicted model, not a curated record
CAGAGGUUCUAACUCCUCCUGGUCCAGAGUGGAUCUCCUCUCCUGGUUCCAUGGCUCCUCCUUAACUUUAUGUAGCAGAAACAAACUCCUAACCCAGAAUCUUGACAGUUUGUCCAUUUUCUACAAGUUUAGGGAGGAGCAGGAGAGGAAACAACGAGAAGUUUGAUCUUUGUUUUUUGCUUGUCAAACUGGAAAAAAUAAACCAUGAAAGCAAUGUUGAAGUUUUUUCGACAUUAAACUUCUUUUACCUGCGCAUGAAGCAUCACCUCAGUGCAGCAAAGGUGACACUUGAUUCUGUUGUGCUGCCUGUGGAAACAAAGUGCAUGAAGUUUGURCUCAGSUGRGAAAACCCUGUGGAUCACAUGGUGGGACUUCUGCUUCAAACUGCUCACUACAGUAUAGCGUCGUCUCUGUCAUCCACCAGUUCACUGCAGACUGGCACCAGUUCACUGCAGACUGGCCCCCGCCAAGGACCCUACAUGGAUGUCUUCUUAAGUUGUAAACCCUGAGUACAUACUGUUGAAAUAAAAUUGAUGUGUCUUUUGUAAA